CCUUGUCUGCUUAUCCUGCCUAUACUUCCUGCCUGGCUACUGGCCAAUCAGCAUUUUAUUAAACCAGUGUAAAAAAGCAUUAUGCCACAGCAACUAUUCUUUGUCUUCAGGCCACAAUGGGAGCCUGGAAAAGCUAGAUUCUGCUGUCUAUAAUGAAAAGUGUCUACAGAAGCCACAGGAGUGGCAACAAACCAAACAACAUGGCAGACUACCUCACAGGUUAGACUUGAAGGUAAUGAGUUUAAAGCCAAAGCUCUCUGUUCACUAACGUCCCCUCCGUUCCUUCUUCACACACACCAGACCAAUUUGCUCAUUUCACAGGAAACUCUCACCAAGGGGACAAGGAUUUGACAAGGAAUGAAAAGAAGCCAGCACUCAGCCAUUCUGGUCCGCAGGGCAUGUGUGGACAGCCACCUUUGAACUGCAACUCAUUGGGGGACUACAGUUAAGAGAUUGCAUGAGUCUCAGGAAGGACUUUACAGUUGAAGAAGGAGUGAAGAUGGCAUACAGAUAUUCCAGGCUAGCCUGAAGCUCAUGAUAUCCUGAUCUGAGCCACUGCACCCAGCUGCUUUCUUGGUCUGAAGAAAGAACAGCCAAAUCCAUAGCAAGACUAACUUUCAAACAAGUCAGUUUCCAAAGCAGAGGCUUCCUCAGGCCUGUGAUGCUCUUUCUGCUGUUGUGGCUUUUCCUUCUGGACUCCUGGUGCUGACAGCUCCUGUAGAUUGAUGCUUGUGGUUAAGGAAUAAAUCUCGAAGUCCUUGGAAUUACUGCUCAAUACUUUCCAUUUCCAAUGCCCUUUGGCAUGAAAAGAAAUGGAAUAGAAGACCACUAGUAGAGCACGCAGCUCUCCAAGAUGUCUAUGCAGUACUCCAUUUGGGAACACCCAAUGUGCUGGCACCCUUGCUGAAGGCCUCCAUACUUAGUGUUGCUGACUGUGGUGGUGCUGACAGUUUAGGUGAUGGGGUUAUCCUCUGAAAAACCUCCAGAUGGCCCUUGACAAUCCAGAACACAGGCCUGGGAACUUCGUCCUUUUUUCCAAGCAAGUUAUUUGCAUUUACUGUCUAGCUUUUGUGAAAUGCCAGGGAAUUGGCCUCUUCACUGUGCUGCCUGCUUCCCACUUCUGUUCUUGAGAUGACCUGAGGUGCUAUGCUUUCACACUGAAGCAGAGCACUCUCCCUUCACCCUGAGCUCUCUUUAACCAGGGAUCUCCCUCCUCUAGCAGCUCCUUCAGGCCAUACCACAACCCUGUUGCUGCACAUUGAAGGAUUGCCUGUCUAGUCUUCCACCUUCAGACUUUUGCUGAAGUUUGUGUUUGUGACUGUCUCUAUGCUUGUGUGUGUCCAUAUUUGCACUGUGUGUGUGUGUGUGUGUGUGUGUGUGUGUGUGUGUGGUGUGUGUGUGUGUGUGUGUAACUGUGUCUAUUGUCUGUGUGUUUUCUUCCUGGUUGCACAUUGCCUUAACAUUUAGAGCCAUCUUUAAACUGUUGCUUAUAAAUUUGGGGCAGUUGUCUAUUAGCUUUGAGCACAUACCCAAGCACUUUGACUAUUUGACUAAGUAUUUUCAACCUUGCUGCGGUCUUCACUCCUUCCUGCCCCACCUGCUACUCAUUGGCAUUUGAGCUGUUUUCCUCUGCAGUGACUUGGACUUUCUAAAGCUCUCAGUGUUAUUCAUGUCUCUUAGUGCUCUUGUCUCCAUUGUAAACUGGAGUUUGCACAAAUAAACACCUACCUUACCAGUGCCUCCUGCUCUACUUAAUGAAAACAAAGGCAGCAAAGAGAGCCAUCUGGUAGAGCCUCUCCACUGUGUGUGAGUACCCAGCAUGGCAUUCCUUGAUGUGGUUUGUGUAUUUGCCAGGCUGCUACUGUGUUCAUACAUUGAUUGUCCUUUUCUGAUGAGUGCCCUUGUUUCUUCAAGUAGCCUAGCUCCUUUCUAAUCUCCUCAGAGAUCCUAAUAGUCACAAUUAUUUAAACAAAUAAACACAAAUCAAAAACAAUUUCCAAACAGAAACUGAAUUCUGCAGUGCAUGUCUUUCCCAGCUAUGGCUUCAUCUCUCUUAAGCCAGUGAAUCAGCAUCACCCAAAACCACCUACAAAUGCCAUGGUGCUGACAUACUGUUCCAUUCCUUCAAUACGGAUUUUACCAUCAUUUUGCCAUGACAUAAUUCUAUGGGUUACACCAAUAAUUUCAUACUGAUAAAUCAUGUCAGUAUUAAUAAGUACAUGUCACAUUUAAGACACUGCAGAAUUUUGCAGAGUUAAUAUAGUUCUAUUAAAACUUUUUCUGCUGCUUUUUUUGACAUGCCAUCUUCUUGGCUUUUCUUUCCAUCUAUGGCUUCUUCCUUGAAAUUGUUUAUAGCUUGAUAUUUGUAUAUCUCCUCAAUUCUCAACCCAAAUCUCUCCUCUUAUUUCAUAUUCUCUUCCUCAGAUAUCCUCAGCCACACCCAGGGGUCUACAUAAACUAUGCUUAUCUCUGUCUCAUUUCUCCCCGAGUUAGGCCUGGAACUUUGAAUUUCCAAUUUCUUUCCUACAGAGAUGUAGAAAAAUUCCUUAAAUGUGGGCAGAUAUUGUUAAUGUUCACACCAUAGAUUAUCUAACUAGUAACUGUUUCUUUCUAAUACUGUUACAACUUUUUUACUCCUUUGUUUUUUUUUGGGGGGGGGAUAUAAAUCCCAAUAUCUACACAAAACUUAAUGUAAGAGCAGAUCAACAAAGAUGCAUGGUAAAGGAAUGAAUGAGUAGAUGAUAAAUUCCCCUUCCUGCACCAAACAUCUUUACAACCACAUUCCACAGAGAGGGGCAAGCUGAUUGAGAAUUGCACCACUUUGAUUGAAUCAUAGUUGAAAGAAAAUAAAAAUAGAAUAAAUCUGCAAUUUAGAAUAACACAUUUAUAUUCAAUUCUACUCUGUUCUUGAUUCUUUUCAGACUGUUUGAUCUGGCAUUUGAACAAGCCAGGGCAAUUCGUUUCUGUGUAGAUUAAGAAAUAUGGCACAUUGUCGUUCAGCUCAUUCAUUAGAUCCUUUGAUCACAGUUGGCUACUCUAGUUUCAGGGAAAGAUCAUGAAGAUAGUGAGCAGCAAGGAAGAGAUGGCAGAAGGCUGAUGUUUGUUCACUGCACUGAGCACCACUGCAGGAGCGUGACUCUGAGACACUACCAGAACUAUGUCCAGAGAAGGCUUGUCUGACUUUCAGCUAAGCAGUUGGAAAUCACACUAAUAAGAGGAAGAGUCCAUCUCUUGUGACAACAAAUGGGGAAAGAAAGAAGCAUGGAGGCAGAAACUGGAAACACACUUCUGUUAUGGACAUCCAGUAUGCACAGAGGGAAUUUCCUUAAGCAGGAAGAUAAACAACUCAAAAUAGCUUCAGGAAGUCCCUAAAGCUGAGCAGAUUUACAAGGCCCACGCCCUGAUAGAGGAAGCAUUGAAAUCUGCAAGUCCCUCUCAGAUAGGGUGAAACCAAGCUGCAAAGAAGACUCUCAGACCAAACCAGCCGACUAAGAGAGACAGAAACCAGCUGAGCUGCUUGGAAGAGGCUCAGAUCAGACUCUCAAACAGGACACUCUGCAAAUGGUUGAGCACCCUGCAGGCUAUGCACUGCACUCCAAGUUCCGUUUCCCAGGUGCAGCAAUUAAUAAGCACCCUGCCAAGACUCCACAUCAGUGUCUGCCAUAGCAAAAAAAAUAGCAGAAAAGGAGGCCUGGGAAGCCAGUUGGUAGGUGCAUCACGGAGAGACCAGCCGAAGUUACAAUCCGAGAAGCAUGUGGGGUCCCAAAGAAAGAAGCACAGAUAGAUCCCUGGGAGGAGCAGUAACGAUUCAACACUGCAGUGCAUAAGCAAAACACCUAGACUCUAAGUACAGCGAGUCUGUUGAAGAGCUCAGACAGGCCACAGUGGAUCUUUCCCUGCUGGAGUUGAGUUGGUGCUUAUUUCCUUAUGGUGGACCAACUAGUCUGCAUGUAUGGUGGUGUGAACAAGCCUCCCAGAGGCUCAUGUAUUUGAACACUUGGUUCUAAGUGAGUGGAGCUGUUUGGGGAGGUUAUGCAAUGUUUAAGGGGUGGAGCUUUUCUGAAGAAAGUAUGUCCCUGGGGUCUGCAUUGCGAGUUCAUCGUUAACCCACUACCAGUUCACUCUGUCUCAUCACCGUGUUGAGGAUCGAUCUCUCAGCUCCCUGCUCCUGUUGUUUCUGUACUUGAUUCUUGCUGCUGUGAUUGGCUCCUACCCCACUGAAACUGUAGGCCUAAAUAAACUCUUUAUUUGAUGGGUUGCUUUGGUCAUGACAUUUUAUUACAGCCACAGAGAAGUAACUGAUAAAUCUUAUGAGCUUCCCACACAACAACACUCCAAGGACCCGGUAGAGGAGUGAUUCUGGCCCACCAACCUUCUUUGAUACUUUUCUUCUAGUAAAUAGGGCAAGGAAAAAACACUGUGUUUCAGGGUGCUGUGAUUGUUAAAUGGGUGACUGGAUGAAAUGCUUACUAUGCUGCAUAGCCUGAGGCAAAUACUUAGGGAUAUGCUGAAGUCAUUACCAGUGUGGAGGUAGAGCAUGCUUACAUAGGAAGUGGACAUGAAGGGAUUAGUACAAAGCGCAGCCUUGCUCUCUUUAAAACUCCAAGUGAUCUUGUAAAAUAAACAUCUAGGUAAAACAAGACAGUAUUACUUGACUACUCUUAAAACCGUCCUUCUCUGUGAAAAAUUGAAAAAGAAAUGAUGCUUUGCAGUCUAAGUUUUGUAACAUUAUGCUCAGAAAAGGCUACAAUCACAUGGUAGUGGGUUACUUAAUUUCUUAUUUAUAAAUUGAAAUUAUUUGAACAUAAAGUAAAAUUUAUACUCACAGCCAUAUAUUCAAACAUCAGUCAGAAACUGAAUGAGUGUGGGCCAUGUCUGAAGCAAUUUAGUAUAAUUCAUAGAAGGUCUUAUAGAUCCUCAUACCUAAUAGUUUGGUGUUAUUUAAUCAAUUGACAUAAACUAUUAAUAUAUUCAAUACCUUAAUAAAUGCUUGAUUUAUGACUUAGUAACAUGUUUUGAAAAUGACCACAAGAGGUGACCAGCAUCUACGUCAUGACACUUAUGAAAUAAACACUCCCCAAAACAUUCCAAACUCCUUCCUCAACGAUAGGCCAAUCCUAGAGGUGGUCAUUUUUCUGAUUUCCUCUCAUGUUUGAGGUUCUGAUCAGCAUGUCUAUGAGGGUGUUUUUGUUUGGUUGGUUUUUUGUUUUUUGUUUUUUGUCUUUUUUUUUGUGUGUGUUGUGUAGUAGUUCAUUAGGGGAAAGUGUAAUGUAUUUAGCUACAAAUGCUUCCUGUUCCUGGAUACUAGAAAACACACUGGAUACACACACUUGUUCUUUCUACACUGUAUUUAACAGCUUGUCUUAAGAAUGUGGUCCAACAUGAACCAUGUGGUAUGGUGCAUUUGGUUACAGAGGCACUUCCCACCACUUAAAAUACCAGGCAGCAGUUUUCAUCUGUGUCUGGGUGUGUGUAUAAGUGAGUGUUAUUAAGUUGUAUCUGUUUUGGUUGUAGGCUUUGUUAGAGUCACUUACUGUUGUUUUCAUUUGGAUUUUUCUGGUGAUUAUUACAUUAACUACCACUUUAUAAUGUUUACCAGCCACUGCAUUUCUUCUCUUGUAAAAUCCCUGCCCAGGUUUUCCCUUUCCAUUCGGGAAAGCUUCCUGUUUCUUACUACUUUGUUUUAUUUAUUGAAUAUGAAUUGCAAUAUGAAUACUCUCUGGAUAAAUAUUG
This is a long non-coding RNA of Peromyscus leucopus (white-footed mouse), 5733 nucleotides long. RefSeq lists it as uncharacterized. NCBI's taxonomy places the organism in Eukaryota, Metazoa, Chordata, Mammalia, Rodentia, Cricetidae. The transcript is spliced from 9 exons. The record is from RefSeq and is a predicted model, not a curated record.